Daphnia pulicaria is the source of this 1400-nucleotide long non-coding RNA. RefSeq lists it as uncharacterized. Lineage: Eukaryota; Metazoa; Arthropoda; Branchiopoda; Diplostraca; Daphniidae. The record is from RefSeq and is a predicted model, not a curated record. The transcript has 8 exons.
GGUGGUUUUGUUGCAGCCGCUGCUGCCGAAAGGGAGUUCAAGUCGAGUUGAGCUGCAGCUUUUGAAACAGUCAACAAUACUGGUGUUAUUCUGAAACGUAAAAUCAAUGAAGACAACUUGAAAUGGUUCUCUAACUAAGAGGGUCUCUACUACAUAUCAAGACAACGUUGUGAUGGAAAUAGGAAAUCUGAAUGAAAUACUAAUAAUGUUUCCAUGGUCAGUUUGAUGUUUGCGCUGUAUUGUUGUGGCUGUUUGGUGUGGAGUGGUUUUCCAGGAGACAUGUGUUUAAAAGGUGCUUGAGUAGACAUACAUACAAUGGGAAAUUUAACAUUUUAAUUUAACGGCAAAGAUAAAAUUGUUGUAGUUGAUCAGUAGUCAUGUUGGCUUUAAGUCUUUCCCAGGGAUAAAGCGGCUGAUGUUGGUAACAUCGCAAUCUUAUGCAACUGAGCCUUACAUAAUUUCUACAUUGUUCGUGAUCAAUGUCAACUUCAACAUUCUUCUUCAUAAAUAUCUUAAAAGGAUUAAUGGCUUGGUAAGAUUGAGCUUUUUCAUGGCAGUCAAAUGUCCGCAUGGAAUUGUUGCAGCCAGCUGGUGAAGGUUGUAGUGAGCUCUUGCAUGAUGACCAUGUGCUGGUGUGGGGAAGUGCUGCAUGCUGUCUGGUGUUUCCAUCGUCAGUUAGUUGUAUGAGCUAAUUAUGUUGUUGCUCUUUGGUGUGCAGUUCAUGUUCAGGUGUUUUUGUUUCAGCCAGCUGGUGAAAGGGGGGUUAAAGAGUUGUGUAGAGCUGUAGCCUAUUGAAGCAGUCAACAAUGCUGGUGUUAUUCUGAAGUGCAAUAUCAAUGAAGACAUUCUGAAAUGGAUUUGGCGACAAUGUGAUCAACAAUAUGCUGAAUAGAGUCUAUGCUGUUUUCGUUAUCAAGGAGUGGAGAAGUAAGAAUUGAAGCAAGGCUGCAAGAAAAUGAAAUGGUCUCGGCGUAAAUGUGCAGUCGCUUUGCAGUCUCAAUCCUGUUUAAACUGUUGCUAUCCUGAAUUAUGCUGGAGUUUUGGAAGUAGCUGAUUCUGAAGUUGGGUUGCUGGUGUUAUCCUGAAGAAGCUGAUGUUAUCCUGAAGAAGCUGAUGUUAAUGUUAUUAAGUAAAUAAGCCAGUUCAGUUCUGGUUGUUCAAAAUUAUAUCCAUGUUGUAUGUGAUUUUAGCAACCUUGAGAUUUGUUAUUAACUAAAACGUGUUGCAACCUGUUAUUAAUUUAAACAGCACUCCUUCCUGAAUUUUCCUCACCCAUAUAUUUUUAAAUAAAUCUUAAAUAACGUGAUGUCAAAACUUUACCUUGUGCAUUGUUAUAUCUGAUAUUUUUUUCAUAAGUUGUGAAAUUUUUAAACAAAUAAAAAACAAUCAAUUAUAUGAAA